CAAUAGCGUAUAUUAAAGUUGUUGCAGUUAAAAAGCUCGUAGUUGGAUUUCUGGUAGGAGCGACCGUGCCGAACUUGAUUGUUCGAGUAUUGUGUUGUCUUCAGCCAUCCUCGUGGAGAACUUUUCUAACAUUAACUUGUUGGGAUUGGGGCCCGCGUCGUUUACUGUGAAAAAAUUAGAGUGUUUAAAGCAGGCAUUAGCUUGAAUACAUUAGCAUGGAAUAAUAAGAUAGGACUUUGGUACUAUUUUGUUGGUUUGCAUACCAAAUUAAUGAUCAACAGGAACAGUUUGAGGAUAUUCGUAUGAACAUGUCAGAGGUGAAAUUCUUGGAUUUUGAUCAGACGAACUACUGCGAAAGCAUUUAUCAAGGAUGUUUUCAUUAA
RNAcentral lists this ribosomal RNA (383 nucleotides) under uncultured eukaryote. RNAcentral describes it as "partial 18S ribosomal RNA". It matches the Rfam family "Eukaryotic small subunit ribosomal RNA", at positions 592 to 976 of the family's 1831-position model. The record is from RNAcentral.